This 389-nucleotide ribosomal RNA is filed under the name Bacillus velezensis. RNAcentral's name for it is "bacterial SSU rRNA". It matches the Rfam family "Bacterial small subunit ribosomal RNA", at positions 389 to 770 of the family's 1533-position model. The record is from RNAcentral. Lineage: Bacteria; Bacillati; Bacillota; Bacilli; Caryophanales; Bacillaceae.
GAGCACGCCGCGUGAGUGAUGAAGGUUUUCGGAUCGUAAAGCUCUGUUGUUAGGGAAGAACAAGUGCCGUUCAAAUAGGGCGGCACCUUGACGGUACCUAACCAGAAAGCCACGGCUAACUACGUGCCAGCAGCCGCGGUAAUACGUAGGUGGCAAGCGUUGUCCGGAAUUAUUGGGCGUAAAGGGCUCGCAGGCGGUUUCUUAAGUCUGAUGUGAAAGCCCCCGGCUCAACCGGGGAGGGUCAUUGGAAACUGGGGAACUUGAGUGCAGAAAAGGAGAGUGGAAUUCCACGUGUAGCGGUGAAAUGCGUAAAGAUGUGGAGGAACACCAGUGGCGAAGGCAACUCUCUGGUCUGUAACUGACGCUAAGGAGCGAAAGCGUGGGGAGCG